AGCGAACGCUGGCGGCAGGCUUAACACAUGCAAGUCGAACGCCCCGCAAGGGGAGUGGCAGACGGGUGAGUAACACGUGGGAACGUACCCUUUGGUUCGGAAUAACUUGGGGAAACUCAAGCUAAUACCGGAUAAGCCCUUAUGGGGAAAGGUUUACUGCCGAAGGAUCGGCCCGCGUCUGAUUAGCUAGUUGGUGAGGUAAUGGCUCACCAAGGCGACGAUCAGUAGCUGGUCUGAGAGGAUGAUCAGCCACACUGGGACUGAGACACGGCCCAGACUCCUACGGGCGGCAGCAGUGGGGAAUAUUGGACAAUGGGGGCAACCCUGAUCCAGCCAUGCCGCGUGAGUGAUGAAGGCCUUAGGGUUGUAAAGCUCUUUUACCCGGUACGAUAAUGACUGUACCGGGAGAAUAAGCCCCGGCUAACUUCGUGCCAGCCGCCGCUGUAA
RNAcentral lists this ribosomal RNA (447 nucleotides) under uncultured bacterium. Its description in RNAcentral is "partial 16S ribosomal RNA". It matches the Rfam family "Bacterial small subunit ribosomal RNA", at positions 29 to 523 of the family's 1533-position model. The record is from RNAcentral.